Molecule: long non-coding RNA, 895 nt
Organism: Myxocyprinus asiaticus (Chinese sucker)
Lineage: Eukaryota; Metazoa; Chordata; Actinopteri; Cypriniformes; Catostomidae
Exons: 3
Source: RefSeq, a predicted model, not a curated record
GCAGGAGUGGUUGACCUCUGCUAAUAUUUCUCUGAAACCGGCGACAAACUCCUUUCAUGCGAACACUAUGAAUCACCUAGAUGACACACCAGCCGUGAGAGGAAAAGGCAACCUCAAGGACAGACCAGAAUGUCUAUCCAUUUACAACUCUGUGACAGGAUUGUUAGCAUCUAGUCAAAGGCAACUCAGAUAUAUCGAUUAAAACAAUACUGUGGUCAGAGAAGUGAAAAGACACCUGUGACGAGGAGGAGGGCGUGGCCGGGCCAUGAUGGAGCACGGCCGGCGCUGAAUCAGCUGAUCAGCGGUAGAGCGAGAUAAGGGGCAGCCGGAGAUGCCGGUUGGAGAGAGAAAGAUGCAAGUGGCCGCAUUGUAUGUGUGUCUGUGUCCUUAUGUUUUAUGUUGUUUUUAGUUUAUUUAUAUCAUUAAAGUUUAUGUUUACUGUUCAGCCGGUUCCCGCCUCCUCCUUGCCUGUCCUUUAACUGUUACAGUGGUGCUGAAACACGAGAGGGAGAAGGGAUGUGCUGUCGCUGAGUCCUCGCCGCUGCCAUCCGCCAGGGGAGCAGCCGCGGCUGUCUACCUGGGGAUGGAAGGGUCGCUGCCGGCCGCCGAGAGCCAGAGGAUCGUUGCCGAGAAGGGGAGGAGCGGUUCCAUCCGCCAGGGGCUGGAGGACUCGCUGCCAUCUGCCGGGGGAGGAGCGAGCUGGCGUCCGCCAGAGGAUGGAGAAGCAGUUGAGGACCAGUCGACAGCGCGUCAGGGAGCCAGCGAGCAAGUUCUUCUCUCUCUCUCUCUCUCUCUGUGUGUCUCCGCUCACCCUUUCCCUCUCCCCACGCCUCCCCUCGUCUCUCCCCCAGGUUCACAGGAGGCGGGGUGGACCACUGGCUGACAGAACAGCCGG